Molecule: long non-coding RNA, 437 nt
Organism: Diceros bicornis minor
Lineage: Eukaryota; Metazoa; Chordata; Mammalia; Perissodactyla; Rhinocerotidae
Exons: 3
Source: RefSeq, a predicted model, not a curated record
CAGGUCAGGGGCGAGGGUUCUGGACGGCGGCCGUGUGCUCGCGGAGCCGGCAGGAGGCGGCGGAGGCCGGGGGCGCGCCCGUGGGCCGAUUUCACCUGCCGCCUGUGGCCAUGGAUUCACACUGCUGUCCUCUAAAGCUAAGGAUGGGACGAAAGUUUGGGGGUUGAGACUCAACAGAGAUUCUCAGUUUGGAUUUCACAGGAGCCGAAAAGAGAAGAUUGAGGCUCUCCCCUUGGCUUUUUCUGCUGUGAUUCGCUGAGGAAGCUCCCUCUGAUUUUCAAGAAUCUGAUGGCAUAAAGCAAACCGAAUGAUUGUAGACAUACGCAGAAGUGGAUGGAAUAGGAUAAUGCACCCAAUGGGCCAUCACCAGCUUCCACCAUCGUCAGCUCAUGACGAUCUUGUUUUACGCAUUUCCCCCAUGUUCUCCCUCAGGAAAU